Molecule: long non-coding RNA, 1472 nt
Filed under: Calidris pugnax (ruff)
Lineage: Eukaryota; Metazoa; Chordata; Aves; Charadriiformes; Scolopacidae
Description: lncRNA (ENSCPUG00000018609.1)
Source: RNAcentral
GGUGGAGCCCAUCCAGCCCCAUAGACUUGUGUGCCUCUAGGUCAUGCAGCAGGUCACUAAACAUUUCCCUGUGGAUUAUGGGGGCACAAUGGGACGGGAGUUAGCACAGCUUAUCAAGAAAGCUUUAAACUAGAUUUGAAGGGGGACGGGGUUGGAACCGGGGCUACUAAAGCGGUGCCCAGGAACAGCGCACCAAUGAUAUUAGGUAAAUGUGCCAGCCCUUCCAGAAAAAUAGUGGGAAGACUAGCCCGGCUGAAGUGCAUCUACAUGAAUGCACGCAGCAUGGGCAACAAACAGGAGGAGCUGGAGGCCAUCAUGCAGGAAGAAAACUACGAUUUAGUUGCCAUCACAGAAACGUGGUGGGAUGACUCGCAUAACUGGAGUGCUGCAAUUGAUGGCUACCAACUUUUCAGAAGGGACAGGCAAGGAAAGAGAGGAGGUGGGGUGGCCCUUUACGUUAAGAACAGUCUUCUAUGCCUAGAACUUAGCAAUAUGCAUGAUGACAGUGUCGAGUGCCUGUGGAUAAGGAUCAAGGGGAAGACCAGUAAGGCAGACAUUGUGGUGGGAGUUUGUUAUAGACCCCCAAACCAGGAUAUAAAGACUGAUGAAGUAUUCUAUAGGCAGGUGACAGAAGCCUCACGAUCACUCUCCCUUGUACUCAUGGGGGACUUCAAUUUCCCUGAUAUCUGCUGGCAAUAUAACACAGCAGAGAGGCAACAGUCCUGGAGAUUCUUGGAAUGCGUGGAAGACAACUUCCUAACGCAGCUGGUGAGGGAACCGACCAGGGAAAGUGCCCUACUGGACCUGCUGAUAGUUAACUCGGAAGGUCUUGUGGGGGAUGUAAACGUUGGAGGCCGUCUUGGACAAAGUGAUCAUGAAAUGAUAAAAUUUUCAAUUCUCACUGAAGCAAGGCGGGGGGCCAGCAGGACUGCCACCCUGGACUUCCGAAGGGCAGACUUUGGCCUCUUCAGGAGCAUGAUUGGGGGUGUCCCUUGGGAGAUGGUCCUCGAGGGCAAGGGUGCCCAGGAAAGCUGGUCAUUCUUCAAGGAGGCACUCUUAAAGGCGCAAGAUAAAGCUAUUCCCAAGUCCCUAAAAUCAAGCAGGAAGGGAAGAAGACCAGCCUGGCUAAAUAGAGAGCUUCGGCUGGAACUCAGGAACAAAAAGAAGGCUUAUAAUCUUUGGAAAAAGGGCCUGGCAGAUAAGGAGAAAUACCAUGAAGCGGUGAGGAUAUGCAGGGGGAAAAUUAGAAGGGCCAAGGCUCAAGUGGAGCUCAGCUUGGCCACCAAUAUUAACAAUAACAAAAAGGGGUUUUUUCAGUAUGUUAACAGCAAGAGAAAGGUUAGGGAUAAUGUGGGCCCACUGAUGGAUGAGGUGGGCACCCUAGUAGUGGAAGACACGGAGAAAGCAGAGUUGCUGAAUGCCUUCUUUUCUUCAGUCUUCACUGUUAGGACUGCCCCUCAUGAAUCUGUGGC